CAGUGAUCCUCCUGCUUCAGCCUGCCAAGCGCUGGGAUUACAGUUCUCUUGAGUACAGACCCAGGGGUGAAACUGCUGCAUCCUGUAACAACUGCCAGGCUCGGUUCCACAGUGGCUGCAGCACCUCGCAUUCCUUCCAGCAGUGUGUGCAAAGUGUCAGCAGCUUCCCCAGCAUUACCGAAGAAUUCUGUAAGAGAACUUCCAUCCCGUACCAAAAAAAAAACACAAACUCCCGCUGGGCAUGGUGACACACGCUUGUAAUCCCAGGACUUGGGAGGCUGAGUUAGGAG
This 290-nucleotide long non-coding RNA is filed under the name Heterocephalus glaber (naked mole-rat). Its description in RNAcentral is "lncRNA (ENSHGLG00000035204.1)". The record is from RNAcentral. Lineage: Eukaryota; Metazoa; Chordata; Mammalia; Rodentia; Bathyergidae.